UGGGGAAUAUUGCACAAUGGGCGGAAGCCUGAUGCAGCGACGCCGCGUGGGGGAUGAAGGCCUUCGGGUUGUAAACUCCUUUCGACAGGGGCGAAGCUUUUGUGACGGUACCUGUAUAAGAAGCACCGGCUAACUACGUGCCAGCAGCCGCGGUAAUACGUAGGGUGCGAGCGUUGUCCGGAAUUACUGGGCGUAAAGAGCUCGUAGGUGGUUUGUCGCGUCGUCUGUGAAAUUCCGGGGCUUAACUCCGGGCGUGCAGGCGAUACGGGCUGACUUGAGUGCUGUAGGGGAGACUGGAAUUCCUGGUGUAGCAGUGAAAUGCGCAGAUAUCAGGAGGAACACCGAUGGCGAAGGCAGGUCUCUGGGCAGUAACUGACGCUGAGGAGCGAAAGCAUGGGUAGCGAACAGG
Molecule: ribosomal RNA, 409 nt
Filed under: Actinomycetes bacterium
Lineage: Bacteria; Bacillati; Actinomycetota; Actinomycetes
Description: Actinobacteria bacterium partial 16S ribosomal RNA
Rfam family: Bacterial small subunit ribosomal RNA
Source: RNAcentral